CAGUAGCCGCGGGAAUACGUAGGGUGCGAGCGUUAAUCGGAAUUACUGGGCGUAAAGCGUGCGCAGGCGGUUAUAUAAGACAGAUGUGAAAUCCCCGGGCUCAACCUGGGACCUGCAUUUGUGACUGUAUAGCUAGAGUACGGUAGAGGGGGAUGGAAUUCCGCGUGUAGCAGUGAAAUGCGUAGAUAUGCGGAGGAACACCGAUGGCGAAGGCAAUCCCCUGGACCUGUACUGACGCUCAUGCACGAAAGCGUGGGGAGCAAACAGGAUUAGAUACCCCCGUAGUCCCUGUCUCUUAUAC
Molecule: ribosomal RNA, 301 nt
Filed under: uncultured bacterium
Lineage: Bacteria
Description: partial 16S ribosomal RNA
Rfam family: Bacterial small subunit ribosomal RNA
Source: RNAcentral